UGCUUUCUGGCAGAGAAAUUUAUAACGACAAACAAACAGUUUGAAAUUACCGUAAUUAGAUAAGAAAACGAACUUCGAAACAAAACGUGUUAGUCUUAAAAAACCAAACGGAUAAUGCUUUAAACGUACAGCAAACCAACCAUCAGCCAGCCAAAAUGAGCCAAUGUCAAAGUUAACCAACAACUAGAAACACAUCGCAUAGUCAACAGCUCGCAGUGAGCCAUCAACGAACCAAAGUCGAUCAGGAACACACAUAGAAGAAGUGGCCUUAGGGACUAGCUUUAACCACCACCACCAACCAUAGCCAAACGAAUCCCCGAAUAGCCCACGGAAUCCGGAUCUAAGCCAAAAUGCCCGCUACAGCCACAUCCAAGCAGAGAGCUCCGCCCGUCGAGGAGGGCAUGACGCCCAAGAAAACCGCUUUGAUCAUUGUCACCGUGAUCGGAUGCAUUGCCAUCCUGUGGCCAAAGGUCUUCCAUCCCAUGAUGUUCGGCGGCGUUCCGCCGACCCAGCCAAACUUGAAGGAUCCGCGCGCAGCUCCAGGCGGAUGUUGUGAUGUCGUGCUGGACAGGGAGCAGUUCCUGAACGCCUCCAAGAAGGAAACUGUCGAGCCCUUCGGUCCGCAUUUGUAUCGCAAGCAAAUCAAUGUUUACACGGGCGAAAUCAGUCUGCGCCAGGAGCGCCCAGCCCACCUGCAUCCGGAAUCCAUAUACCAGGCCAUGAGGGAGCGGGGUCGCGCCAUUCCCGCCACGCCCACCGUUCCGAUUCUGGAGCGGAAGACUUCGCCCAGUAAUCCGCCGCCGCGGAUCGUCGACGGACGGCCCGGACCCAUUCCUGGAAUGCGUCCACCCAUGGGCGCCGGUGCACUGCAUCAGCCACAACAGCGGGGCAGCAGCAUGGGCUUCCUAAUGCCACUCUACACUAUCGGAAUCGUGGUCUUCUUCGGCUACACCCUAAUGAAGAUUAUGUUCAAGAAGCAAGUGCCCAAUGAACCGUACGGAGCGGCACCAGCCAAUCCUGCUUUCCGACAGGAGGUCUUCGGACAGCAGAACCACAGUCAGGUGGAGGACUUGGGCGGCAGCAAACUGGGCUGGCGAGAGCAUCAGACAAGAGCUGCCGCCGCAAAGAAGCCGGCCGCCAAGGACACCGAAAAGGAGCUGUACAACGCCAGUGUGUCGGCCACCGAGGUGGCCACCAGUUUGUCCGCCUCGCUGAAGAGCCACCAGCAGCUGAAGGAGGCCGAGCAGCUGAUGGAGAUCGAGAAGCUGCGCCAGAAACUCGAGAGCACGGAGCGGGCGAUGGCCCAGUUGGUGGCCGAAAUGAACACCGAUCAGUAUGAGGCAAAGAUGAUUGCCCUCAAGUUUCUCAAGCGGCAGCCAAACUUCUAAGACCAAAAUAACCAUCAUUCAGUUCACAUAGAAUCAGUCAGUAAACAGACCAAAAUCAGACCAACAACAAAUCAGAUCACAACUAAAAAAACGACAACGAAAAAACAAGAGAGCAAGCAGACAAGCAGAACCUUUCCAACGGACAUGCAAAGCCCACGGACGACCAAAAUCCGG
This 1562-nucleotide unclassified non-coding RNA is filed under the name Drosophila yakuba. RNAcentral's name for it is "GE12158". The record is from RNAcentral. Lineage: Eukaryota; Metazoa; Arthropoda; Insecta; Diptera; Drosophilidae.